GGCCUGGCCGGGCGGUCCGCCUAACGGCGCCGUACUGUCUGGCCGGGCCUUACCUCUUGGUGAGCCGGCGUGCCCUUCGCUGGGUGCGUCGGGGAACCAGGACCUUUACCUUGAGAAAAUUAGAGUGUUCAAAGCAGGCUUUUGCCCGAAUACAUUAGCAUGGAAUAAUGAAAUAGGACGUGCGGUUCUAUUUUGUUGGUUUCUAGAGUCGCCGUA
RNAcentral lists this ribosomal RNA (216 nucleotides) under uncultured fungus. RNAcentral's name for it is "partial small subunit ribosomal RNA". The stretch from base 92 to 216 matches the Rfam family "Eukaryotic small subunit ribosomal RNA", at positions 738 to 864 of the family's 1831-position model. The record is from RNAcentral. Lineage: Eukaryota; Fungi.